GUGAGAGAAGGGGAGGUGUGUGUGUGUGUGGGGGGGAUAUUGUGUGUGUUUUAACGGACUCUGCAGAGAACACUGUAACCAACUUUUGAGAGAAUGAGGCUGUAAAAAUUUCAGUACGGCAUUUGUCUAAUUAUCUUAGACCCAGAGUAACUUUAGUUCUCUUUUGAAUCCUAGUUUUUUCAUGUAUAUAUAUAUAGUACUACUACCUUUCAGGAUAGUUUUGAGAACUAGAGCAUAUAUAAAGGCAGCUUACUUGUUGUCAGUGCCAUUGUCAUCAUCAUCAUCAGGAUUACAGGCAGAAGCCCAUCUUUGUUUCGCUUGAGAGGUGGAAGGUCUUCAAUAGUGCUGUGUUUUCCUGUGGUUCUGCAGAGGCCUCUCCCCUUCCCCAUCCAGAGCCUACUUCCCUUUGCUUGCGAAUUAAGACAUCUGCUGCAAGGAACCAGGACAGUGGGUAGCCAUCCUAUACUUUUGUUUAAAGGGGAGCGUGUUAACAAGGAGCAAUUCCAGUGGAUAUUCUCAAAUUGUGUAACUGCCCUGAAGGAAAACAAGAGCUGCAAAAAUAAUGUUAGGGAGGAGCCCCUGAAGAAAGGCUGUGGGGAGGCCUUCCUGCGGAGGGGCUAAGAGUUGGGACCUGGAGGCUGAGAAGGUACCAGCCACGCAGCAGGCCUAGCGUCCGGGCAAAGGCAGGGAGAGGGGAAGAGCUCACCUUGAGGAGGUGAAGGGACACUGGUCUUUGGGGGCAGUGAGCCCUGGGAGGAGCUGGAGAAGAUUUUGGGGGGGCUGGGGAGACAGAGGUGCUUCUGGCACUCCCAUGACCGUGCCCAGGCUGCUGAGGGCACAAAGAGCAGGAUUUUUUUUUUAAAUCUCAAUACCCAGGGUUCAUUGUCUUGCCGCUUCGAAGAAUGAAGAGGUGGACACAAAAUAAAAUGAACAGCGGGCAAAGGUUUUCAGAGUUUAAGAUUAGAAAGUAAGAACAGUAUGGAAGCUCUCUUUACAGAGAGAGGGCAUUCGAAAGUGAAUGCCCGCAGACUGUAGGCAAGGGUCCUUGUUUUAUAAGGUUCUGGUUGGCACCCCCUCCCCUUCUCCCUUGUUCCUUCUCAGGUUCUGCCCUCAUUGGCUGGACAACUCUAGGUGCUGGGUUGUCUAUUCCCGAUUGACUCGAUUCCAUCGUGUGAGGAGUCAGACUAUGGUCAUACUCAUACUGUCCCUCAUAUAACAUAAGCUUCGUGGUUUGCUUAUUUUAGUUAGGUAUCUCGAUUGUCAAAUUCCUGAGGGGAACCUGAGGGGGAGUAGGUGGUAUCUGUUAACAUUCUUAAGAGGAAACUUACACCUGAGGGGGUUUGCUGUGGUCAAAUCCUCCCAGCAUUGUUCCAAAAUACGUGUUUUCCCCCCUGCCAGGGACCUCAGGUCCUAAUCUUUCCCUCUAUUUUAUCCUAUUUUUCCCUGUCAUAGAUGCAGGAGAGCAGUCAGCAGUUUAUUGCAUUAAUGCCGCUGAGGGAUGAUGGUUUCUUGGACCAGAAUGGUGGCAGGAGAGGGAGAGGAGGGUGGCUGUUCAGGUUGGAGAGAUCUGUCAGGAAUGAACUGGACUGUACCCGCACUCCGCACCCUGGGUUGUCCCUGGUAGGCGGCUGGCAGAUGGCACACUCUAAAGUGAAGCACCCGGGAUCCGGAAGAGUGAGAAGCCAUUACCACCUUUAUGCCUGAACAAGCAAGGAGAGGAAGCUGUUUUCCCAAGGUACGGAGGCUUCUACAAUGUGAUCUGGUUGGUCUUUGGUGAUCCCUAACAGCCGGAGAAGGAAUAAGCAGUGAUCCAGAGAAGAGUGUGAGAGAUGCAGGUCUAAAGAGCAUCUGAAACACUGGAUUGGUGAUCCUCAACUUGCUGGGGAGGAUUUGAAAGAGCACCAAUGCCUGGGCCCCACACCAGAACAGUUACGGCGGGGUCUUUGCGGUGGGUCCACCAUGGAGAUGUUUUAAAAGCUUCCAGGUGAGAGAGAAAGACAAAUACUGCUUGGCACCUCUUAGUUGUGGAAGCUAAGAACAAAGUCGUCCUCACAGAAACAGAGUAGAAUGGUGGUAGCCAAUGCUGGGAGGUGGGGGAGAGGCAGAGAUAUUGGUCAUGGGGAACUUAUAACUUUCAGUUAUAAGUUAAGUGAGUUCUGGGGAUCUAAUGUGCAGCAUGGUGACUACGGUUAAUAAUACUGUAUUGUAUGCUACAAAUUUGCUAAAAGAGUGGAUCUCAAGCACAGAGGUAACUAUGUGAGGUGAUGGAUGUGUGAAUUAACUUGAUUGUGGUAAUUAUUCCAGAAUGUAUACAUGUAUGAAGCCAUUACAUUAUAUGCUUUACCUAUAUCCAAUUUUGCUUGUCAAUUUAACCUCCAUAAAGUUUGGGGAGAAAGAAAGCCUCCAAAUGAUUCUUUUAUGCAGCCAGGGCUGCAAACCACUGGCCUGGAGGAGUAAACAUGGCUGUGGCAUUUGCUGAAGAGAGUUUCAUACAGUCUUGAUUGUAGCAAUGCCAUGCACUUGGAACCAGUCUAAGUUUUUUUGUGACAAACAAGCAGAGAAGCUUUGCUCCAAGGCUAUAAUCCACUUCUUCUCUCACAGAUGUAUGGAAGAAAUAACCCCAAAGAGUCCGUGUGGCCUGGAAAACUUCAGAAGAGAACAGGACUUUGGGACCUGGAGAUUCUCAUUUGAUUCCCUAUACUUUUUCUGUUGUCAGUGGGGCAGGCAGGAUUUAUGAUGUCUGCAGUAGGGCUAAGAGGAUUUGAAACUUGAUUAUUUGAGGUAUCAGGGUAUUCAAGAGAGAAAUCUCAAGUUCCCAGAUGCAGAUGUUCUUGGUAUGGGAAUCACAUUUGGAGAACUGUUGGUUCAUUAUCCUAAGAUCAUUCUGUCUUAGGUUUCCUAAUGACAGAUCACUUUGAGGCAACUGAGGCAUCACUGAAAUGUAUUUCUCAGAUGAGAAGGGAGAUAAACAGCAAUCCACUCUGCUCACUCGGCCUUUCUUCAUCCUCUCCAUCAACUUAAGAGUUGCUUCCUGGAACCAGGCUAGGAGCAAGGACUAGGGCUUGAUGUAUACUUUGGCCCAUCAUUUUAUUUCAGUAGAUUUACAAAGUAUUUCCCAUCCGAUAUCUCAUAUAGUUCUCUAGAAAACAAGAUGCUCCAUUCUCCUGCUUCUUCUGUUUACUCAUGCCAUUUACUCAUGGCAUUUCUUCUGCCA
This is a long non-coding RNA of Felis catus (domestic cat), 3214 nucleotides long. RefSeq lists it as uncharacterized. The record is from RefSeq and is a predicted model, not a curated record. NCBI's taxonomy places the organism in Eukaryota, Metazoa, Chordata, Mammalia, Carnivora, Felidae. The transcript has 4 exons.